This 498-nucleotide ribosomal RNA is filed under the name uncultured bacterium. Its description in RNAcentral is "partial 16S ribosomal RNA". It matches the Rfam family "Bacterial small subunit ribosomal RNA", at positions 28 to 507 of the family's 1533-position model. The record is from RNAcentral.
GACGAACGCUGGCGGCGUGCCUAAUACAUGCAAGUCGAACGAGAGCGACCGGUGCUUGCACUGGUCAACCUAGUGGCGAACGGGUGAGUAACACGUGGGUAACCUGCCCAUCAGAGGGGGAUAACAUCCGGAAACGGAUGCUAAAACCGCAUAGGUCUUCGAGCCGCAUGGCUUGAAGAGGAAAAGAGGCGCAAGCUUCUGCUGAUGGAUGGACCCGCGGUGCAUUAGCUAGUUGGUGAGGUAACGGCUCACCAAGGCCGUGAUGCAUAGCCGACCUGAGAGGGUGAUCGGCCACAUUGGGACUGAGACACGGCCCAAACUCCUACGGGAGGCAGCAGUAGGGAAUCUUCCGCAAUGGACGCAAGUCUGACGGAGCAACGCCGCGUGAGUGAAGAAGGUUUUCGGAUCGUAAAACUCUGUUGUUAGAGAAGAACAAGUGCUAGAGUAACUGUUAGCGCCUUGACGGUAUCUAACCAGAAAGCCACGGCUAACUACGUG